GUAUUCACUUUGGCAGCACAUACACUAACAUUGGAAUAAUACAGAGGAUAUUAGCAUAAUCCCAAGUAAAGAUGACAUGCAAAUUUGUCAAGUGUUCUAUAAUUUU
Molecule: small nuclear RNA, 106 nt
Organism: Acomys russatus (golden spiny mouse)
Lineage: Eukaryota; Metazoa; Chordata; Mammalia; Rodentia; Muridae
Source: RefSeq, a predicted model, not a curated record